This 77-nucleotide transfer RNA is filed under the name Deltaproteobacteria bacterium. RNAcentral's name for it is "tRNA-Arg". It matches the Rfam family "tRNA". From Rfam's summary of the family: Transfer RNA (tRNA) molecules are approximately 80 nucleotides in length. The record is from RNAcentral. Lineage: Bacteria; Pseudomonadati; Myxococcota; Myxococcia.
GCGCGAUUAGCUCAGAUGGAUAGAGCGUCGGCCUCCGAAGCCGAAGGCCAGUGGUUCGAGUCCACUAUCGCGCACCA